Molecule: ribosomal RNA, 598 nt
Filed under: uncultured bacterium
Lineage: Bacteria
Description: bacterial SSU rRNA
Rfam family: Bacterial small subunit ribosomal RNA
Source: RNAcentral
UAAAGAAUUAUCGCUGAUAGAUGGGCAUGCGUUCCAUUAGAUAGUUGGUGAGGUAACGGCUCACCAAGUCCACGAUGGAUAGGGGUUCUGAGAGGAAGGUCCCCCACACUGGUACUGAGACACGGACCAGACUCCUACGGGAGGCAGCAGUGAGGAAUAUUGGUCAAUGGGCGAGAGCCUGAACCAGCCAAGUCGCGUGAAGGAUGAAGGAUCUAUGGUUUGUAAACUUCUUUUAUAUGGGAAUAAAGUGAGGAACGUGUUCCUUUUUGUAUGUACCAUAUGAAUAAGCAUCGGCUAACUCCGUGCCAGCAGCCGCGGUAAUACGGAGGAUGCGAGCGUUAUCCGGAUUUAUUGGGUUUAAAGGGUGCGUAGGUGGUUAAUUAAGUCAGCGGUGAAAGUUUGUGGCUCAACCAUAAAAUUGCCGUUGAAACUGGUUGACUUGAGUAUAUUUGAGGUAGGCGGAAUGCGUGGUGUAGCGGUGAAAUGCAUAGAUAUCACGCAGAACUCCGAUUGCGAAGGCAGCUUACUAAACUAUAACUGACACUGAAGCACGAAAGCGUGGGGAUCAAACAGGAUUAGAUACCCUGGUAGUCCACGC